This 440-nucleotide ribosomal RNA is filed under the name uncultured bacterium. RNAcentral's name for it is "partial 16S ribosomal RNA". It matches the Rfam family "Bacterial small subunit ribosomal RNA", at positions 338 to 795 of the family's 1533-position model. The record is from RNAcentral.
CCUACGGGAUGCAGCAGUGGGGCAUAUUGCACAAUGGGGGAAACCCUGAUGCAGCGACGCCGCGUGAGUGCAGAAGUAUUUCGGUACGUACAGCUCUAUCAGCAGGGAAGAAAAUGACGGUACCUGAGUAAGAAGCCCCUGCUAACUACGUGCCAGCAGCCGCGGUAAUACGUAGGGGGCAAGCGUUAUCCUGAUUUACUGGGUGUAAAGGGAGCGUAGACGGCAGAGCAAGUCUGGAGUGAAAUGCCAGGGCUUAACCCCGGGACUGCUUUGGAAACUGUGCAGCUGGAGUGCAGGAGAGGUAAGUGGAAUUCCUAGUGUAGCGGUGAAAGGCGUAGAUAGUAGGAGGAACACCAGUGGCGAAGGCGGCUUACUGGACUGUAACUGACGUUGAGGCUCGAAAGCGUGGGGAGCAAACAGGAUUAGAUACCCGUGUAGUC